Molecule: ribosomal RNA, 433 nt
Filed under: uncultured bacterium
Lineage: Bacteria
Description: partial 16S ribosomal RNA
Rfam family: Bacterial small subunit ribosomal RNA
Source: RNAcentral
AACGAACGCUGGCGGCAUGCCUAACACAUGCAAGUCGAACGAGACCUUCGGGUCUAGUGGCGCACGGGUGCGUAACGCGUGGGAACCUGCCCUUAGGUUCGGAAUAACUCCCCGUAAGGGGUGCUAAUACCGGAUAAUGUCUUCGGACCAAAGAUUUAUCGCCUUUGGAUGGGCCCGCGUUGGAUUAGCUAGUUGGUAGGGUAAAAGCCUACCAAGGCGACGAUCCAUAGCUGGUCUGAGAGGAUGAUCAGCCACACUGGGACUGGGACACGGCCCAGACUCCUACGGGAGGCAGCAGUGGGGAAUAUUGGACAAUGGGCGGAAGCCUGAUCCAGCAAUGCCGCGUGAGUGAUGAAGGCCUUAGGGUUGUAAAGCUCUUUUACCCGGGAUGAUAAUGACAGUACCGGGAGAAUAAGCUCCGGCUAACUCCGUG